RNAcentral lists this long non-coding RNA (362 nucleotides) under Ananas comosus (pineapple). RNAcentral describes it as "long non-coding RNA (ACOM_LNC029222)". The record is from RNAcentral. Lineage: Eukaryota; Viridiplantae; Streptophyta; Magnoliopsida; Poales; Bromeliaceae.
UGACAGUAAAUGUUGCAACUAUAGAAAGGGGGUGCUUGGCCUAGUUUUUACAAAGCGCUUUUGGACUGAAAAGUGAUUUUUGGCUCAAUAGAGCGUUUGGCAACUCAUUUUUAAAAUCUUAUUCUGCUUUUUAGAAUCAAAAAACUGAUUUUGAAGGCCGCAGAAUCAGAAGUAGAAAAAAGCUGCUUCUUAAAAUCUGAUUCUGAUUUUGGAUUUAAACUUCAAAUUUUUAUUUUAAUUUUAAUAUUUAAAUUUAAAUUUAAUUUUAAAUUUUAAUUUUUAGAUUCAUUUUUGAAUUUUUAAAUUUUAAAUUUUGAAAAAUAGAUUUCAAACUUUAAAUUUUAAAUUUUAAUUUUAAAUUU